Molecule: long non-coding RNA, 1933 nt
Filed under: Homo sapiens (human)
Lineage: Eukaryota; Metazoa; Chordata; Mammalia; Primates; Hominidae
Description: HSALNT0162322
Source: RNAcentral
AGUUACCAGCAUUUUGCUCCACCUAUUUUGAUGACUAAUGCUCAAUGCCUUCUUUCCCUUAGGCUGAAAGGCUGGGAGCCUGGGGGCCACCGUUUACACCCUGGGUGUGGCUGAUUAUAAGAUAGGCCAGGUCAUUCUGAACUAGUAACCAGGCACCACUCUGGAGCUGAGUGGAGAAAGGCAUCCCAGGCGGCUUUCCCAGGGCCACCACAAGGACAGUCAUCUAACUUGCCCCCAAGUGAUUUGGGCCAACCCAUGGCCACUGCAGAAGUGACUGACAGCGUGUUGUAGAAAUCCCACCACACCAAAAGCGGGGGCGGAAGAGUUCCCCACUCCCUGAUAGUGGGCUGCUGGCUAGAGAAGGCUGUGGCCCUGACAGCCUGACAUUCUGCUGCCCCCAAAGCAUGGGGGCAAGACACUGUCCCCUGAGCCUGUGACCUGCUGCAUCCUCACCUCCUGGGUGGGGGUCCAAGCCACGUUCCCUCUCUGAAGAUAACAACAAUUGCCCACAGCCUGGACCGCAUGUUUGCAGUGGGUCAUGGAGUUUCUGAACAGCAUGGCCUAGUGGACAGAAUCGGAACACAAGGUGUCUUGAGGUGAAGUCUGUGGAGCCUCCACUAUGUGUGCAGGAGGUGAGCACUGAGGAGGCCCCGCUGUAGUAAGAAGGGUAUGUGCUGCAUGUGUGGUAUAUGGUGUGUGUGGUGUGUUUUGUGAUGUGUGUAUGUUGGCUAUAGUGGGUAUAUGGCGUGUGUGGUGUGUUUUGUGAUGUGUGUGUGUUGGCUAUAGCGGGCAUAGGGCGUGUGUGGUGUGUUUUGUGAUGUGUGUGUGUUGGCUAUAGCGGGCAUAGGGCGUGUGUGGUGUGUUUUGUGAUGUGUGUGUGUUGGCUAUAGCGGGCAUAGGGCGUGUGUGGUGUGUUUUGUGAUGUGUGUGUGUUGGCUAUAGCGGGCAUAGGGCAUGUGUGGUGUGUUUUGUGAUGUGUGUGUGAUGGCUAUAGCGGGCAUAGGGCGUGUGUGGUGUGUUUUGUGAUGUGUGUGUGUUGGCUAUAGCGGGCAUAGGGCGUGUGUGGUGUGUUUUGUGAUGUGUGUGUGUUGGCUAUAGCGGGUAUAUGGCGUGUGUGGUGUGUUUUGUGAUGUGUGUGUGUUGGCUAUAGCGGGUAUAUGGCGUGUGUGGUGUGUUUUGUGAUGUGUGUGUGUUGGCUAUAGCGGGUAUAUGGCGUGUGUGGUGUGUUUUGUGAUGUGUGUGUGUUGGCUAUAGUGGGUAUAUGGCGUGUGUGGUGUGUUUUGUGAUGUGUGUGUGUUGGCUAUAGUGGGCAUAGGGCGUGUGUGGUGUGUUUUGUGAUGUGUGUGUUGGCUAUAGUGGGUAUAUGGUGUGUGAAUGUGCGCAGUAUGGUGUGUGUGCUGUGGAAGUUGCGUUUGGAUGCAUGUGGUGUUUGUGCGUGUGUAUGUGCUGUGUGAGUGUGUGUUGUGCAUCACGUAUGGUGUGUGGUGUGUGUGGUAUGUAUAUGGUGUUUAGAUCAUGGAUGUUUCUGGUACAGUAUGUUUAUGUUGUGUCUGUGGUAUAUGUGUGCUAGUUGUGUGUGGUAUAGUGUGUUUGUGGUGUGGGUGUUGUAUCUGUGUGUAUGUGGUGUGGGCAUGCACAGCAGCUAACCCGGCCCAUAGGCCGGGAGCAGUCAGGGUUCAUCUCAGGAAUCCCAGGCAGGCGUAGGAGCUGAAAUAUCUGUGUAAUUUACCACAUCAACAAAACGGGAAAUAGGAACCAGGCAAUUUUCUCAGGGGGAUGAGGAACAAGAAGUGGGGGUGUCAACAUCUCCUUCUGUUCCUGGGAACAAAAGGAAACCUCCGUAACCAGAAAAAGCCAUCCACACAAACACCCUUGGUUCUCCUCGGCCCCAAAGGAUAAAACCCAGCACCCAUCCCUGCUGUCUGGGAUGUGG